CCUACGGUGGGCAGCAGUCGAGAAUCAUUCACAAUGGGGGAAACCCUGAUGGUGCGACGCCGCGUGGGGGAAUGAAGGUCUUCGGAUUGUAAACCCCUGUCAUGUGGGAGCAAAUUAAAAAGAUAGUACCACAAGAGGCAGAGACGGCUAAUUCUGUGCCAGCAGCCGCGGUAAUACGGAGGUCUCAAGCGUUGUUCGUAAUCACUGGGCGUAAAGCGUGCGUAGGCGGUUUCGUAAGUCGGGUGUGGAAGGCGGGGGCUCAACCCGCGGACUGAACGUGAUACUGUGAGGCGAGGGUAAAGGAGGGGGAGGCGGAAUUCUCGGUGUAGCAGUGAAAUGCGUAGAUA
RNAcentral lists this ribosomal RNA (347 nucleotides) under uncultured bacterium. RNAcentral's name for it is "partial 16S ribosomal RNA". It matches the Rfam family "Bacterial small subunit ribosomal RNA", at positions 338 to 696 of the family's 1533-position model. The record is from RNAcentral.